AUGGCUCUAAUCCGGAUCAACUCCAGUGUUCAUUUCUUGAUGGCACUUAUGAUGAUUUCAAGCACUUUAUUGUCGAGUGAAGCAUCAGGGAGGAACAUAGGCAUGGAAGCUAACAUUGGCGUUGAGGGGCGCCGUGAACCUUACACUCCUUGUUCAGAUCCUUCAUUUUGUAAUGACAUCUGCAAGCGAGAUGGUAAGGGAGGUGGGACCUGUAGUGGUGGUGCCUGCUACUGCAACAGAGAUUUGUAG
RNAcentral lists this ribosomal RNA (249 nucleotides) under Triticum aestivum (bread wheat). RNAcentral describes it as "partial small subunit ribosomal RNA". Lineage: Eukaryota; Viridiplantae; Streptophyta; Magnoliopsida; Poales; Poaceae. The record is from RNAcentral.